Molecule: ribosomal RNA, 1499 nt
Filed under: uncultured bacterium
Lineage: Bacteria
Description: bacterial SSU rRNA
Rfam family: Bacterial small subunit ribosomal RNA
Source: RNAcentral
AGGGUUUGAUCAUGGCUCAGAUUGAACGCUGGCGGUAGGCUUAACACAUGCAAGUCGUGCGAGAAAGUAUCUUCGGAUAUGAGUAGAGCGGCGGACGGGUGAGUAACGCGUAGGAAUCUACCUAGUAGAAGGGGAUAGCCCGGGGAAACUCGGAUUAAUACCGUAUACCUCCUUCGGGAGAAAGAAGGCCUCUCUUUGAAGCUUUCGCUAUUAGAUGAGCCUGCGUAAGAUUAGCUUGUUGGUGAGGUAAAGGCUCACCAAGGCGACGAUCUUUAGCGGGUCUGAGAGGACGAUCCGCCACAUUGGGACUGAGACACGGCCCAGACUCCUACGGGAGGCAGCAGUGGGGAAUAUUGGACAAUGGGCGCAAGCCUGAUCCAGCCAUACCGCGUGUGUGAAGAAGGCCCUAGGGUUGUAAAGCACUUUAAGUUGGGAAGAAAAGUUAUUGGUUAAUACCCAAUAACCGUGACAUUACCAUCAGAAUAAGGACCGGCUAAUUCCGUGCCAGCAGCCGCGGUAAUACGGAAGGUCCAAGCGUUAAUCGGAAUUACUGGGCGUAAAGCGCGCGUAGGUGGUUUAUUAAGUUGGAUGUGAAAUCCCCGGGCUCAACCUGGGAACUGCAUCCAAAACUGAUUCACUAGAGUACGAUAGAGGGAGGUAGAAUUCACAGUGUAGCGGUGGAAUGCGUAGAUAUUGUGAAGAAUACCAAUGGCGAAGGCAGCCUCCUGGAUCUGUACUGACACUGAGGUGCGAAAGCGUGGGUAGCGAACAGGAUUAGAUACCCUGGUAGUCCACGCCGUAAACGAUGUCAACUAGCUGUUGGAAAACUAUGUUUUUCAGUGGCGCAGCUAACGUAGUAAGUUGACCGCCUGGGGAGUACGGCCGCAAGGCUAAAACUCAAAUGAAUUGACGGGGACCCGCACAAGCGGUGGAGCAUGUGGUUUAAUUCGAUGCAACGCGAAAAACCUUACCUAUACUUGACAUACUUGGAAUGCUUUGUAAUGAAGCAGUGCCUUCGGGAGCCAAGAUACAGGUGCUGCAUGGCUGUCGUCAGCUCGUGUCGUGAGAUGUUCCGUUAAGUCGGAUAACGAGCGCAACCCUUACCCUUAUUUGCCAGCGAUUCGGUCGGGAACUAUAAGGGGACUGCCGGUGAUAAACCGGAGGAAGGUGAGGACGACGUCAAGUCAUCAUGGCCCUUACGUAUAGGGCUACACACGUGCUACAAUGGAGAAUACAGACGGACGCUAAGCCGCGAGGUGGUGCUAAUCCUAGAAAAUUCUUCGUAGUCCGGAUUGGAGUCUGCAACUCGACUCCAUGAAGUCGGAAUCGCUAGUAAUCGCGAAUCAGCAUGUCGCGGUGAAUACGUUCUCGGGUCUUGUACACACCGCCCGUCAUACCAUGGAAGUGGAUUGCACCAGAAGUAGAUAGUCUAACCUUCGGGAGGGCGUUUACCACGGUGUGCUUCAUGACUGGGGUAAAGUCAUAACAAGGUAACCGUA